This 770-nucleotide ribosomal RNA is filed under the name uncultured fungus. RNAcentral's name for it is "eukaryotic LSU rRNA". It matches the Rfam family "Eukaryotic large subunit ribosomal RNA", at positions 30 to 821 of the family's 3401-position model. The record is from RNAcentral. Lineage: Eukaryota; Fungi.
GAACUUAAGCAUAUCAAUAAGCGGAGGAAAAGAAACCAACAGGGAUUACCUCAGUAACGGCGAGUGAAGCGGUAACAGCUCAAAUUUGAAAUCUGGCCUCACGGUCCGAGUUGUAAUUUGUAGAGGAUGUUUCGAACGUGGUCCGGUCUAAGUUCCUUGGAACAGGACGUCAUAGAGGGUGAGAAUCCCGUAUGCGACUGGGUGCCUAAGUUCAUGUGAAACUCCUUCGACGAGUCGAGUUGUUUGGGAAUGCAGCUCAAAAUGGGUGGUAAAUUUCAUCUAAAGCUAAAUAUUGGCCAGAGACCGAUAGCGCACAAGUAGAGUGAUCGAAAGAUGAAAAGCACUUUGGAAAGAGAGUUAAACAGUACGUGAAAUUGUUGAAAGGGAAGCGCUUGCAACCAGACUUGCACGCAGUUGAUCAUCCGGUAUUCUUACCGGUGCACUCGAUUGUGUUCAGGCCAGCAUCGGUUUUGGUGGUUGGAUAAAGGCCUUGGGAAUGUAGCUUCUUUCGGGAAGUGUUAUAGCCCUCGGUGCAAUGCAGCCUACCGGGACCGAGGACCGCGCUUCGGCUAGGAUGCUGGCGUAAUGGUUGUAAGCGACCCGUCUUGAAACACGGACCAAGGAGUCUAACAUCUAUGCGAGUGUUUGGGUGUCAAACCCAUACGCGUAAUGAAAGUGAACGGAGGUGAGAACCCUUAAGGGUGCAUCAUCGACCGAUCCUGAUGUCUUCGGAUGGAUUUGAGUAAGAGCAUAGCUGUUGGGACCCGAAA